Felis catus (domestic cat) is the source of this 85-nucleotide transfer RNA. It matches the Rfam family "tRNA". From Rfam's summary of the family: Transfer RNA (tRNA) molecules are approximately 80 nucleotides in length. Their secondary structure includes four short double-helical elements and three loops (D, anti-codon, and T loops). The record is from Rfam. NCBI's taxonomy places the organism in Eukaryota, Metazoa, Chordata, Mammalia, Carnivora, Felidae.
GCCUGAGUGGCUCAGUCAGUAAAGCGUCUGACUUUGGCUCAGAUCACGAUCUCACAGUUCACGGGUUCAAGCCCCGCGUCGGGCU